This 322-nucleotide ribosomal RNA is filed under the name uncultured eukaryote. RNAcentral describes it as "partial 18S ribosomal RNA". It matches the Rfam family "Eukaryotic small subunit ribosomal RNA", at positions 1470 to 1796 of the family's 1831-position model. The record is from RNAcentral.
CCCUUAGAUGUUCUGGGCCGCACGCGUGCUACACUGAGUAAUUCAAUGGGUAAGGGAACGCUAGAGCAUUACCUAAUCUUGAAAUUUGCUCGUGAUGGGGAUCGACGGUUGCAAUUUUCCGUCGUGAACGAGGAAUACCUUGUAGGCGCAUGUCAUCAUCAUGCGCCGAAUACGUCCCUGCCCUUUGUACACACCGCCCGUCGCUCCUACCGAUUGAGUGAUCCGGUGAGGCUCUGGGACCUGGACGGAAAGAUCGUUUCGCUUGUUCUGUUUGGGAAACUUGGUCGAACCUUAUCAUUUAGAGGAAGGAGAAGUCGUAACA